This 465-nucleotide ribosomal RNA is filed under the name uncultured bacterium. Its description in RNAcentral is "partial 16S ribosomal RNA". It matches the Rfam family "Bacterial small subunit ribosomal RNA", at positions 28 to 507 of the family's 1533-position model. The record is from RNAcentral.
GACGAACGCUGGCGGCGUGCUUAACACAUGCAAGUCGAACGGAAAGGCCCUGCUUGCCGGGUACUCGAGUGGCGAAUGGGUGAGUAACACGUGGGUGAUCUGCCCUGCACUUCGGGAUAAGCCUGGGAAACUGGGUCUAAUACCGGAUAGGAGCCAUUUUUAGUGUGAUGGUUGGAAAGUUUUUUCGGUGUAGGAUGAGCUCGCGGCCUAUCAGCUUGUUGGUGGGGUAAUGGCCUACCAAGGCGGCGACGGGUAGCCGGCCUGAGAGGGUGGACGGCCACAUUGGGACUGAGAUACGGCCCAGACUCCUACGGGAGGCAGCAGUGGGGAAUAUUGCACAAUGGGCGCAAGCCUGAUGCAGCGACGCCGCGUGGGGGAUGACGGCCUUCGGGUUGUAAACUCCUUUCGCUAGGGACGAAGCUUUUUGUGACGGUACCUAGAUAAGAAGCACCGGCUAACUACGUG